UGGCGGCGUGCUUAACACAUGCAAGUCGAACGGAAAGGCCCUGCUUUUGUGGGGUGCUCGAGUGGCGAACGGGUGAGUAACACGUGAGUAACCUGCCCUUGACUUUGGGAUAACUUCAGGAAACUGGGGCUAAUACCGGAUAGGAGCUCCUGCUGCAUGGUGGGGGUUGGAAAGUUUCGGCGGUUGGGGAUGGACUCGCGGCUUAUCAGCUUGUUGGUGGGGUAGUGGCUUACCAAGGCUUUGACGGGUAGCCGGCCUGAGAGGGUGACCGGCCACAUUGGGACUGAGAUACGGCCCAGACUCCUACGGGAGGCAGCAGUGGGGAAUAUUGCACAAUGGGCGGAAGCCUGAUGCAGCAACGCCGCGUGCGGGAUGACGGCCUUCGGGUUGUAAACCGCUUUCGCCUGUGACGAAGCGUGAGUGACGGUAAUGGGUAAAGAAGCACCGGCUAACUACGUGCCAGCAGCCGCGGUGAUACGUAGGGUGCGAGCGUUGUCCGGAUUUAUUGGGCGUAAAGGGCUCGUAGGUGGUUGAUCGCGUCGGAAGUGUAAUCUUGGGGCUUAACCCUGAGCGUGCUUUCGAUACGGGUUGACUUGAGGAAGGUAGGGGAGAAUGGAAUUCCUGGUGGAGCGGUGGAAUGCGCAGAUAUCAGGAGGAACACCAGUGGCGAAGGCGGUUCUCUGGGCCUUUCCUGACGCUGAGGAGCGAAAGCGUGGGGAGCGAACAGGCUUAGAUACCCUGGUAGUCCACGCUGUAAACGGUGGGUACUAGGUGUGGGGUCCAUUCCACGGGUUCCGUGCCGUAGCUAACGCUUUAAGUACCCCGCCUGGGGAGUACGGCCGCAAGGCUAAAACUCAAAGGAAUUGACGGGGCCCCGCACAAGCGGCGGAGCAUGCGGAUUAAUUCGAUGCAACGCGUAGAACCUUACCUGGGUUUGACAUGGAUCGGGAGUGCUCAGAGAUGGGUGUGCCUCUUUUGGGGUCGGUUCACAGGUGGUGCAUGGCUGUCGUCAGCUCGUGUCGUGAGAUGUUGGGUUAAGUCCCGCAACGAGCGCAACCCUUGUUCACUGUUGCCAGCACGUUAUGGUGGGGACUCAGUGGAGACCGCCGGGGUCAACUCGGAGGAAGGUGGGGAUGACGUCAAGUCAUCAUGCCCCUUAUGUCCAGGGCUUCACGCAUGCUACAAUGGCUGGUACAGAGAGUGGCGAGCCUGUGAGGGUGAGCGAAUCUCGGAAAGCCGGUCUCAGUUCGGAUUGGGGUCUGCAACUCGACCUCAUGAAGUCGGAGUCGCUAGUAAUCGCAGAUCAGCAACGCUGCGGUGAAUACGUUCCCGGGGCUUGUACACACCGCCCGUCAAGUCAUGAAAGUUGGUAACACCCGAAGCCGGUGGCCUAACCGUUGUGGGGGAGCCGUCGAAGGUGGGACUGGUGAUUAGG
RNAcentral lists this ribosomal RNA (1435 nucleotides) under uncultured organism. RNAcentral's name for it is "16S ribosomal RNA". It matches the Rfam family "Bacterial small subunit ribosomal RNA". The record is from RNAcentral.